This is a long non-coding RNA of Parus major (Great Tit), 1231 nucleotides long. RefSeq lists it as uncharacterized. Lineage: Eukaryota; Metazoa; Chordata; Aves; Passeriformes; Paridae. The record is from RefSeq and is a predicted model, not a curated record. The transcript is spliced from 2 exons.
UCCACGGGGAGUCCGCGGGCCGUGGCCGGGCGUUGGUGGCCCGGAGCCCUACGAGGGCCGCGGCACGUCCUGGCCCUCCGGAGCUCCCUCUCCCCGCUGCCAGCAGAGCCGGUCCCAGCAGCCCUGGGGCAGAGUUACCCAACCCGUCUGCCCGCUCCCGCCGCUUUCCCAACCAGUCCGGAGCAGCUCCGGCUCUUUUUGCCUUCACCCUCUCAAGAGCCCUUUCUACGAGGCCAUUUACAUCAUUUUGGUGGUUUUGCUCAAGGAAUUGUAAUUCCGUUUCAAAGGAAAGAGGGAGAGAAGCAACCGAUGCCAGAGGACGAGUGGUGCAGUAAUAACAGCGUCGGAGCGGGAGGAAGAGCCGUGCCCCGUGGCCAGAGCAGGGACGGAGCCCCCGGACCCCAAAAGCCCCCGUGGAGCGCUGCUGAGGACCCCCAGGAGACCCCUGGGAACCCGGUGAGGGUCAUAACCCGCUUUUAUACUGGGGAAACUGAGGCACGGGCGGGUACAGAGGAAUUGGGGACCAUCCAAGCACGGAGCAGCUGGGAUGACCCUGGAGCUGGAGCUGCUCCAGGAGAGGCGCGAACUCAUCUGGGAUCACCUGCCCCGUGAUUCAUCGCUCCAGCGCUGCUCCACAUAGUUUCCAAGGAGGUUUCAUUGGACACGGGCACACACAUCCCCACGAACCCAUCGGCAUCAGCGUGACACCGGUGACCAGUUAUUGACUCUGCCCUGUCACCCAAAGCACCGGAAAACCUGGAGCUUGGCUGGACCCAGCCCUCGCACAGGGCCGGGAAUAGAAAACCGGUCGGAGAACUUUUUCUCCAGCAGCCGCAGAGCGAGCGCGUGACCUUGGGCUGAGCUGGGCUGAGCCUUUCCUCGGCUCUGCCGAGAGGGAGGGGGCUCGCCCAUCCCAAACUGCUCCGUGAAGGGACAGGGAGGAGAGGAUUGUGCCCUUCCUGCCUUGGGGGUGGUGGGAACCCAUCCUACUUCUGCUCCUCUGCAGAUCUCAUAGUGCUGGAGCGAUUUCCAGCCCGUCCUAAAGCCCAGCUGCACCCCCAGGUCACGGACCCCUCUCCCCAGAACAGGCAGAGGGAUUCCCCGGGGGUCGGCCUGGGUGUCCCUGGGCUGGGCUGCCCCACAGCCCGGCUUCCCACCCCUCUGGCCAGGCUGAUCCCCACGGAACGGACGGAAAAAGGGAGAUUAAAUUAGAUUAGCUGGAGCCGCCUAA